UCUCAUAUCUCUCUAUACGGGAGAGAAGCUUCGACUAAGGUUCGAUUCGAGCGUCAGCGAGAAAGCGUUGCCGCAGGCAACGACCCGAA
This 89-nucleotide small RNA is filed under the name Salmonella enterica. Its description in RNAcentral is "partial RtT sRNA". It matches the Rfam family "RtT RNA", at positions 1 to 88 of the family's 130-position model. Rfam says of the family: This family represents a bacterial cis-regulatory element known as RtT RNA. The exact function of RtT is unknown although it is thought that it may be involved in changing the cellular response in relation to amino acid starvation. Lineage: Bacteria; Pseudomonadati; Pseudomonadota; Gammaproteobacteria; Enterobacterales; Enterobacteriaceae. The record is from RNAcentral.